Selaginella moellendorffii is the source of this 167-nucleotide long non-coding RNA. RefSeq lists it as uncharacterized. The transcript has 3 exons. The record is from RefSeq and is a predicted model, not a curated record. Lineage: Eukaryota; Viridiplantae; Streptophyta; Lycopodiopsida; Selaginellales; Selaginellaceae.
CUGCAAACUCUAUGAUCAGUACCUUGAGGGAACUGAUGAAAAUAGAGGUACUCAAAGUCGCAAGCUCUAUAUGGAGCUGGCUGAUCUAUGGCUUGAGGGCUGGAUGGACAAGGACGGGAUCAAGAAUGCUGUUUACAGAGCGAAAGAAAGGAGAAAAGCUUUGCAGA